GUGGGGAAUCUUGCGCAAUGGGCGAAAGCCUGACGCAGCCAUGCCGCGUGAAUGAUGAAGGUCUUAGGAUUGUAAAAUUCUUUCACCGGGGACGAUAAUGACGGUACCCGGAGAAGAAGCCCCGGCUAACUUCGUGCCAGCAGCCGCGGUAAUACGAAGGGGUCUAGCGUUGCUCGGAAUUACUGGGCGUAAAGGGCGCGUAGGCGGAUCGUUAAGUCAGGGGUGAAAUCCCAGAGCUCAACUCUGGAACUGCCCUUGAUACGGGCGAUCUUGAGUGUGAGAGAGGUAUGUAGAACUCCGAGUGUAGAGGUGAAAUUCGUAGAUAUUCGGAAGAACACCAGUGGCGAAGGCGACAUACUGGCUCAUUACUGACGCUGAGGCGCGAAAGCGUGGGGAGCAAACAGGAUUAGAUACCCCAGUAGUCC
This 425-nucleotide ribosomal RNA is filed under the name uncultured bacterium. RNAcentral's name for it is "partial 16S ribosomal RNA". It matches the Rfam family "Bacterial small subunit ribosomal RNA", at positions 354 to 796 of the family's 1533-position model. The record is from RNAcentral.